GAUCAACGCUGGCGGCGUGCCUAAUACAUGCAAGUCGAGCGAACGGACGAGAAGCUUGCUUCUCUGAUGUUAGCGGCGGACGGGUGAGUAACACGUGGAUAACCUACCUAUAAGACUGGGAUAACUUCGGGAAACCGGAGCUAAUACCGGAUAAUAUUUUGAACCGCAUGGUUCAAAAGUGAAAGACGGUCUUGCUGUCACUUAUAGAUGGAUCCGCGCUGCAUUAGCUAGUUGGUAAGGUAACGGCUUACCAAGGCAACGAUGCAUAGCCGACCUGAGAGGGUGAUCGGCCACACUGGAACUGAGACACGGCCCAGACUCCUACGGGAGGCAGCAGUAGGGAAUCUUCCGCAAUGGGCGAAAGCCUGACGGAGCAACGCCGCGUGAGUGAUGAAGGUCUUCGGAUCGUAAAACUCUGUUAUUAGGGAAGAACAUAUGUGUAAGUAACUGUGCACAUCUUGACGGUACCUAAUCAGAAAGCCACGGCUAACUACGUG
This 497-nucleotide ribosomal RNA is filed under the name uncultured bacterium. Its description in RNAcentral is "partial 16S ribosomal RNA". It matches the Rfam family "Bacterial small subunit ribosomal RNA", at positions 28 to 507 of the family's 1533-position model. The record is from RNAcentral.